AUUGGAGAAGAUCUGACAACCUGUGCUUCUGCACAGAAAUAAAAACAGUAUCUAACGCUAAUGUUAAGUAUGAAUGAUUUUGAAAAUGGCAGCCAAGCUUCAUGACUCCUCCAUGGUUUCAAAUAUGAACCAUAACUGUUCCUUGUGGAGCUGAAGGAACUAUUUUUCUUUCUUUCUUCCCUUCUUCUGUCUUUACAGGAGGUCCUGCCACAGCAGCUUUGCCAUGAUGCCUGGGACAUGGGAAAUGGUGGAGACUUUGUGUAAAGUACCUUCUUUAUUGCCCUGUGGGACUGCCUAAGAGAACGUCUUUCAUUUUGCCUCAGGAAACAGGAGUGGCGGGAUUUCAGUGGUGUUGCCUUCUGAGAGCUGUGGAGGGAGGGCCAUGUUUUUAGAUCUUGGGUGAAUCACCUGCAAGAUUAGGUGAGAGUAUUAGGCAGGCUCCAAUCCGUUUGGGCUUUAAGAUGAGAUAGCCUCAUGCACUCGAAGGGCUGAAGCUUCCCUCUGAGUUCAGCUGGUUGUGACAGGCAAACUCAUGAAGCCCAAGGGGAGUUUUCUUCCGAUGCUACAAAAGAGUGGAGUGGCUGGUGUACUGUGUGUGCUGAAUCUGCACAGGGCUGGGUGGUGGCCCUUAAGCUUUCAUCAGCAUAGAGCCAUUAGGGGAUGAAGCUAUGAAAAACACGAUGCCUGGGCUGGAGAGCCUACCAUGACAUUUCCAGAGUAAGGCCCAGAAAUCUACAUUUUGAAGAAGCAUGCCCAGAGAAUUCUGCUGCAGGGAGGUCACGGAUCUGGGGGAGGAGAACGUGGUGCAGAGGAGGGAAGGAUGGCACUUGACAAUUCUCUCACUUGCUGUUUCUCAAGCUGCCACUCCAGGUGGCCUCGUCUCUUGAGUUGACUCCUCUCCAUCCCCACUUGCCACCACCUUCCUUCAGACUGCCACCCUCUCCUGCACAGAUUAAUGCCACAGCUUCCUGACUGGACGUCUGGUCCCCUGUCUUGUCCUUCUCCAGUGUAUCUGCUCAUCUUUCAAUAUACAAAUCUGAUGAGGAUGGUCUCUGGUUCAAAACUCUUCAUAGGAAGAGCACACGUCUGUAC
Vicugna pacos (alpaca) is the source of this 1092-nucleotide non-coding RNA. The record is from RefSeq and is a predicted model, not a curated record. Lineage: Eukaryota; Metazoa; Chordata; Mammalia; Artiodactyla; Camelidae.